Long non-coding RNA from Lagenorhynchus albirostris (white-beaked dolphin), 342 nucleotides. RefSeq lists it as uncharacterized. The record is from RefSeq and is a predicted model, not a curated record. NCBI's taxonomy places the organism in Eukaryota, Metazoa, Chordata, Mammalia, Artiodactyla, Delphinidae. The transcript is spliced from 4 exons.
CCCCCAGACUCCAUCCCGGCCAGCCGUGGCGCACUAACCCCUUCAGGCUGUGUUCACUCCGCCAACCCCACUCCUCUCCCUGGGAUGCGACUUCCAAAGCCCGAGCCUCAGCUCCCAGCCCCCGCCCGCCCCGGCGGGUGAGCAGACAAGCCUCUCGGACUGUUUCAUGCCAUUGUGAUGAGAAAAGAUGCUUGAAGUAAUUUUUGACGUGUUUCUAUGCAAAGUUCAAAGGGGUGACUGGAGAUGGAAAAGAAAGGACAGGGACCAACAACAGAAUAGAACUGGAGAAGCAGAAGUCUUCCUCAGGGACUUCCCUGGUGGUCCAGUGGUAAAGAAUCCGCC